GAUGAACGCUAGCGGCAGGCCUAACACAUGCAAGUCGAGGGGCAGCACAGGAAGGUAGUAAUACUUUUGGGUGGCGACCGGCGGACGGGUGCGUAACGCGUAUACAACCUGCCUUCUACUGGGGGAUAAUUCGGAGAAAUCUGGUCUAAUACCCCAUAUCAACCGAUGAGGCAUCUCAUUGGUUUAAAAGCUCCGGCGGUAGAAGAUGGGCAUGCGUGUCAUUAGCUAGUUGGCGGGGUAACGGCCCACCAAGGCGACGAUGACUAGGGGCUCUGAGAGGAGAAUCCCCCACACUGGUACUGAGACACGGACCAGACUCCUACGGGAGGCAGCAGUAAGGAAUAUUGGUCAAUGGAGGCAACUCUGAACCAGCCAUGCCGCGUGCAGGAAGACUGCCCUAUGGGUUGUAAACUGCUUUUAUACCGGAAUAAACCUCGAUUCGAGAAUUGAGCUGAAUGUACGGUAAGAAUAAGGAUCGGCUAACUCCGUGCCAGCCGCCGCAGUAA
This 506-nucleotide ribosomal RNA is filed under the name uncultured bacterium. Its description in RNAcentral is "partial 16S ribosomal RNA". It matches the Rfam family "Bacterial small subunit ribosomal RNA", at positions 28 to 523 of the family's 1533-position model. The record is from RNAcentral.